Cebus imitator (Panamanian white-faced capuchin) is the source of this 1270-nucleotide RNA transcript. It is a transcript of the gene named ADP/ATP translocase 3-like, with no coding region annotated. The record is from RefSeq and is a predicted model, not a curated record. The transcript has a single exon. Lineage: Eukaryota; Metazoa; Chordata; Mammalia; Primates; Cebidae.
GGACUGAUCCAGGGACGCCCUCCCUUCACUUUCAGCGCCCGCUCCGCUCCCGGCCCCGCCACCAUGACGGAACAGGCAGUCUCCUUUGCCGAAAGCGUCCUGGCAGGAGACAUGGCCGCCGCCAUCUCCAAGACGGCCGUUGCCCGGAUCCAACGGGUCAAGCUGCUGCUGCAAGCAGCACAAAGGCAUCGUGGACCUCAUCGUCCGCACCCCAAGGAGCAGGGCGUGCUGUCCUUUUGGAGGGGCAACCUGGCCAAUGUCAUCCGCUACUUCCCCACGCAAGCCCUCCACUUGGCCUUCAAGGAUCAGUACAAGCAAAUCUUCCUGGUGUUGGGGGGGUGGGGGGGAGCCAAGCACAAGCCGUUCGUUCCGGAGGUAUUUUGCAGGUAAUCUGGCUCCCUGGGGUGCUGUCGAACGACCUGCCUCUGCUUCAUGCGCCCCCUGGAUUUCACCAGAACCCGCCCGGCAGCCGAUGUGGGGAAAUCCGGCAGGGAGCGCGCGUUCCAAGGCCUGGGAGACUGACUGCCUGGCAAAGGUCUCCACGUCCGACAGCGUCCGGGGCCGGUACCAGGGCUCCAGCGUCCACGUGCAGGGCAUCAUCAUCUACCCUGCCGCCUACUUCUGCGUGUACCACACGGCCAAGGGCAUCCUCCCCGACCCCAAGAACACGCACAUCGUGGGGAGCUGGAUGAUCGCGCAGAGGGUGGCGCGCGUGGCGGGGGUGGUUUCCUACCCCUUCCACCCCUUGCAGCCACAGAGGAUGAUGCGGUCCCGGGCAAAGGAGCUGACAUAAGUACACGGGCACCGCCUACUGUUGGAGGAAGAUCUUCAGAGACAGGUGGGCAAGGCCUUCUUCAAGGGUCCUUAGGGGCAAGGGGGCCGCCUUCCUGCUGGUCCUGGACGACGAGCUGAAGAAGGUCAUCUAAAGGCCUCAGUGGCCUCCUCUACACACACACAAGGGAACCAAGAGAACCACGUAGAAUCCUCAACGAUGCGGACCACUGACCCUCGAGAAAUUCCAGUCAUCUUUUUCCCAGCCGAUCCUUCCUGUAGAUGGCCAGGGAAGGCUCUAGAAAAGGGGUACCUUGUGAUCCAACGAUCGGCACUCGAUGCCAUGUCUUGAUCACUGGGGGAAGGGAACCAUGGCGUCCUCGCGGGCCCACGGAUGAGACACUCCAAUACUCAGACCUAGAGUCCAGAUGUUUGUAGGACCCAAGUCGUGUUUAAGUAUUUAUUUAAGACAAAAGAAUCAUGUUUCCCAUUUGUACUU